Molecule: transfer RNA, 74 nt
Filed under: Pseudomonas putida
Lineage: Bacteria; Pseudomonadati; Pseudomonadota; Gammaproteobacteria; Pseudomonadales; Pseudomonadaceae
Description: tRNA-Cys
Rfam family: tRNA
About the family: Transfer RNA (tRNA) molecules are approximately 80 nucleotides in length. Their secondary structure includes four short double-helical elements and three loops (D, anti-codon, and T loops).
Source: RNAcentral
GUUGAUCUGGCCGAGCGGUUAGGCAGAUGAUUGCAAAUCAUUGCAGAUGGGUUCGAUUCCCUUGGUCAACUCCA